CUGGGGAGAACUGUGCCAGGCAGUGAGCCCGCACUUGGGCAGGGACAGCAGGAAUAUCUAGAGGGAGCUCUGGCCACCUUCCCCCACCUCCUGAAGUGAACUGGGUCUCUCAGAGCAUGACCCCACAGCCCACAGCCUCGGUCCUACUUCCUCCUAGUUUGCUGGAGUGGCCUGGCCCUCUGGGUCCAGGGGGAGCCCAACACCCCAGGGUGAGGUAUCAGGGACCCAUCUAGUAGCCCAGAGGAGGAAACCCCAGUAUCUUCCACACCCCACCCCUUAGCCCAGUCCAGGCUUCCAUCCCCUGCUCUCUCUGGCCAUGGGUACUCAGCCAGUGAGGUCUGGCAGACUUAGCCAUAGCUCUGGGGAGGGCACUGUCCCCAGGCAGCUUGGCCAGUAUUUGUUGACUGACUAAGUGAAUGCCCAGCUGGCUGAGCGCUCAUGGUGGGGUGUGUCUUGCCGGGCAGGAGCUGGGAUUGAGUUACAGUGGCUGGGGCCAGUAGUGGGGAGGCAGAGACUGGCACCGUGCCAGGCCCAGCACUGCCCACAGGCAGAGUGAAGGUGCAGGAGCAGUUUCCAGCAGGUUUCUGAAGGAGUGGUGCAGGGAAACCCAAGGUACUUGAGUGUGAAGUGCCAAGACGUAACAAAGUCGACAGAAGUGAGGGUCCCUUCCUUCCCCAGAGCCUGUGUUUAUACAGAGUUCAGCUCUGUUUCAAGA
This is a long non-coding RNA of Cebus imitator (Panamanian white-faced capuchin), 715 nucleotides long. RefSeq lists it as uncharacterized. The record is from RefSeq and is a predicted model, not a curated record. NCBI's taxonomy places the organism in Eukaryota, Metazoa, Chordata, Mammalia, Primates, Cebidae. The transcript has 3 exons.